AAGGGGUGGGCAAGUUCUGGUGUCAGCCGCCGCGGUAAAACCAGCACCUCGAGUGGUCAGGAGGUUUAUUGGGCCUAAAGCAUCCGUAGCCGGUUGCAUAAGUUUUCGGUUAAAUCUAUGCGCUUAACGUAUAGGCCGCCGAAAAUACUGUGCAGCUAGGGAGUGGGAGAGGUACACGGUACUCGAUAGGAAGGGGUAAAAUCCUUUGAUCUAUUGAUGACCACCUGUGGCGAAGGCGGUGUACCAGAACACGUUCGACGGUGAGGGAUGAAAGCUGGGGGAGCAAACCGGAUUAGAUACCCGGGUAGUCCCAGCUGUAAACGAUGCAGACUCGGUGAUGCAUUGGCUUGUGGCCAAUGCAGUGCCGCAGGGAAGCCGUUAAGUCUGCCGCCUGGGAAGUACGUACGCAAGUAUGAAACUUAAAGGAAUUGGCGGGGGAGCACCACAAGGGGUGAAGCCUGCGGUUCAAUUGGAGUCAACGCCAGAAAUCUUACCUGGGGAGACAGCAGAAUGAAGGUCAAGCUGAAGACUUUACCAGACACGCUGAGAGGUGGUGCAUGG
RNAcentral lists this ribosomal RNA (561 nucleotides) under uncultured archaeon. RNAcentral's name for it is "bacterial SSU rRNA". It matches the Rfam family "Archaeal small subunit ribosomal RNA", at positions 437 to 997 of the family's 1478-position model. The record is from RNAcentral.